Non-coding RNA from Arachis ipaensis, 130 nucleotides. The record is from RefSeq and is a predicted model, not a curated record. NCBI's taxonomy places the organism in Eukaryota, Viridiplantae, Streptophyta, Magnoliopsida, Fabales, Fabaceae.
GUGGAAACUCAAGUACACUCGACUUUACGUCAAGUUGAUAGCUGAGAGCGGUUAAAUGAUUUGACUGAUUUGACUAAAUUUUCAUCUAACGGCUCUUAACCAUCAAUUUCAUGUGAAAUUGACUGCAAAU